GGAGGUUGUGCCCUUGAGGCGUGGCUUCCGGAGCUAACGCGUUAAGUCGACCGCCUGGGGAGUACGGCCGCAAGGUUAAAACUCAAAUGAAUUGACGGGGGCCCGCACAAGCGGUGGAGCAUGUGGUUUAAUUCGAUGCAACGCGAAGAACCUUACCUGGUCUUGACAUCCACGGAAGUUUUCAGAGAUGAGAAUGUGCCUUCGGGAACCGUGAGACAGGUGCUGCAUGGCUGUCGUCAGCUCGUGUUGUGAAAUGUUGGGUUAAGUCCCGCAACGAGCGCAACCCUUAUCCUUUGUUGCCAGCGGUCCGGCCGGGAACUCAAAGGAGACUGCCAGUGAUAAACUGGAGGAAGGUGGGGAUGACGUCAAGUCAUCAUGGCCCUUACGACCAGGGCUACACACGUGCUACAAUGGCGCAUACAAAGAGAAGCGACCUCGCGAGAGCAAGCGGACCUCAUAAAGUGCGUCGUAGUCCGGAUUGGAGUCUGCAACUCGACUCCAUGAAGUCGGAAUCGCUAGUAAUCGUGGAUCAGAAUGCCACGGUGAAUACGUUCCCGGGCCUUGUACACACCGCCCGUCACACCAUGGGAGUGGGUUGCAAAAGAAGUAGGUAGCUUAACCUUCGGGAGGGCGCUUACCACUUUGUGAUUCAUGACUGGGGUGAAGUCGUAACAAGGUAACCGUAGGGGAACCUGCGGUUGGAUCACCUCCUUACCUUAAAGAAGC
Molecule: ribosomal RNA, 726 nt
Filed under: Escherichia coli
Lineage: Bacteria; Pseudomonadati; Pseudomonadota; Gammaproteobacteria; Enterobacterales; Enterobacteriaceae
Also listed under: 1 other name
Description: bacterial SSU rRNA
Rfam family: Bacterial small subunit ribosomal RNA
Source: RNAcentral